GACGAACGCUGGCGGCGUGCUUAACACAUGCAAGUCGGACGGAAAGGCCCUGCUUUUGUGGGGUGCUCGAGUGGCGAACGGGUGAGUAACACGUGAGUAACCUGCCCUUGACUUUGGGAUAACUUCAGGAAACUGGGGCUAAUACCGGAUAGGAGCUCCUGCUGCAUGGUGGGGGUUGGAAAGUUUCGGCGGUUGGGGAUGGACUCGCGGCUUAUCAGCUUGUUGGUGGGGUAGUGGCUUACCAAGGCUUUGACGGGUAGCCGGCCUGAGAGGGUGACCGGCCACAUUGGGACUGAGAUACGGCCCAGACUCCUACGGGAGGCAGCAGUGGGGAAUAUUGCACAAUGGGCGGAAGCCUGAUGCAGCAACGCCGCGUGCGGGAUGGCGGCCUUCGGGUUGUAAACCGCUUUCGCCUGUGACGAAGCGUGAGUGACGGUAAUGGGUAAAGAAGCACCGGCUAACUACGUG
This 468-nucleotide ribosomal RNA is filed under the name uncultured bacterium. RNAcentral's name for it is "partial 16S ribosomal RNA". It matches the Rfam family "Bacterial small subunit ribosomal RNA", at positions 28 to 507 of the family's 1533-position model. The record is from RNAcentral.